This 2057-nucleotide ribosomal RNA is filed under the name human gut metagenome. RNAcentral describes it as "bacterial LSU rRNA". It matches the Rfam family "Bacterial large subunit ribosomal RNA", at positions 1 to 2003 of the family's 2925-position model. The record is from RNAcentral.
AGAAGAUACUAAGGGCGCACGGCGGAUGCCUUGGCACAGGAAGUCGAAGAAGGACGCGGCAAGCUGCGAUAAGCUCCGGGGAGGCGCAAACGGCCUUCGAUCCGGAGAUCUCCGAAUGGGGGAACCCAGCAGGGGUCAUGCCCUGCUACCCGCGCCUGAAUGAAAUAGGGCGCGAGGAGGCAACCCGGGGAACUGAAACAUCUAAGUACCCGGAGGAAGAGAAAUCAACCGAGAUUGCGGGAGUAGCGGCGAGCGAAACCGCACCAGCCCAAACCCAUGCACGUGCAAGCUUGAGGGCGUUGCUGCAUGAGGGGUUGUGGGACCGCGCAUUCCAUGGGCCUCAGACCAUGGACGCAGUUACAAAUCCGCGCGGAAGCGGAACGGCCUGGGAAGGCCGGCGGAACAGGGUGAGAGCCCCGUACGCGAAUCCGCGCGGACUGCGAGUGCGGCGCCCGAGUAGCGCCGGGCACGUGAAACCCGGUGCGAACCUGGGGGGACCACCCUCCAAGGCUGAACACUCUCCUGUGACCGAUAGCGAACCAGUACCGUGAGGGAAAGGUGAAAAGCACCCCGAGAGGGGAGUGAAACAGUACCUGAAACCGUGCGCCUACAAGCAGUCGGAGCCCCCGAGCGGGGUGACGGCGUGCCUUUUGUAGAAUGAGCCAGCGAGUUGCGGUAUGCGGCGAGGUUAAGGUUUGAACCGAGCCGCAGUGAAAGCGAGCCUUUAAGAUGGCGAUAGAGUCGCAUGCUGCAGACGCGAAGCCGGGUGAGCUAUCCAUGGGCAGGCUGAAGCGGGGGUAAGACCCCGUGGAGGGCCGAACCCACUUCGGUUGAAAACGGAGGGGAUGACCCGUGGAUAGGGGUGAAAGGCCAAUCAAACCCGGAGAUAUCUCGUUCUCCCCGAAAUAGCUUUAGGGCUAGCCUCGGCCGUUCUCCGACGGCGGUAGAGCACUGGAUCGUCGAGGGGGCUUCACCGCCUACCGACACGAACCAAACUCCGAAUGCCGCCGGAUCAGAGGCCGGGAGUCAGAACAUGUGGGCUAAGCUGUGUGUUCGAGAGGGAAACAGCCCAGACCGCCCGCUAAGGUCCCCAAAUCCAUGCUGAGUGGCAAAGGAUGUGCGUUUGCCUAGACAACCAGGAUGUUGGCUUAGAAGCAGCCAUGCAUUUAAAGAGUGCGUAACAGCUCACUGGUCAAGUGGACAUGCGCCGACAAUUCACGGGGCUAAGCAUGGUACCGAAGCGGCGGACUAAUCUAUAUUAGUGGUAGGGGAGCUUUCCCCGCAGCGGAGAAGCCGAGAGGGCGACCCUCGGUGGAGCGCGGGGAAGUGAGAAUGCUGGCAUGAGUAACGAGAGCGGCGCGAGAAACGCCGCCGCCGUAAGCCUAAGGGUUCCUGGGCAAGGCUAAUCCUCCCAGGGUCAGUCGGGAGCUAAGGCGAGGCCGAGAGGCGUAGCCGAUGCGCAACAGGCGGACAUUCCUGUACCGCCUGCGGACCGCUAUCACCGACGGGGUGACGGAGAAGGGUAGCCGAGCGGGGUUCUGGACGUCCCCGUGAAAGCGCGUAGGGAGCAUCGCAUGGAAAUCAGCGGCGCAUAUAUCCUGAGACGCGAGACGAAAGCUUAUGCUGAAGUCGGCGAGCCCAUGCUUCCGAGAAAAACCUCUAGGAAGGGACGCAGGCGCCCGUACCAAAACCGACACAGGUGGGCAGGUAGAGCAUACCGAGGCGAUCGGGAGAACCAUGGUUAAGGAACUCGGCAUACUGACUCCGUAACUUCGGGAGAAGGAGUGCCCCUGGCGGUGACGGGACUAGCUCCCCGAGCGGCCGGGGGUCGCAGCGAAACGGCCCAAGCGACUGUUUAUCAAAAACACAGGACUCUGCAAAGCCGUAAGGCGACGUAUAGGGUCUGACGCCUGCCCGGUGCUGGAAGGUUACGCGGAUGGGUCAGCCGCAAGGCGAAGCUCUGAAGCCAAGCCCCAGUAAACGGCGGCCGUAACUAUAACGGUCCUAAGGUAGCGAAAUUCCUUGUCGGGUAAGUUCCGACCUGCACGAAUGGCGUA